UUGAACGCUGGCGGCAUGCCUUACACAUGCAAGUCGAACGGUAGAGGGGCAACCCUUGAGAGUGGCGAACGGGUGAGUAAUAUAUCGGAACGUGCCCAGUCGUGGGGGAUAACGCAGCGAAAGCUGCGCUAAUACCGCAUACGAUCUAUGGAUGAAGGCGGGGGAUCGCAAGACCUCGCGCGAUUGGAGCGGCCGAUAUCAGAUUAGGUAGUUGGUGGGGUAAAA
RNAcentral lists this ribosomal RNA (225 nucleotides) under uncultured bacterium. RNAcentral's name for it is "partial 16S ribosomal RNA". It matches the Rfam family "Bacterial small subunit ribosomal RNA", at positions 30 to 262 of the family's 1533-position model. The record is from RNAcentral.